RNAcentral lists this unclassified non-coding RNA (208 nucleotides) under Hevea brasiliensis (rubber tree). Lineage: Eukaryota; Viridiplantae; Streptophyta; Magnoliopsida; Malpighiales; Euphorbiaceae. The record is from RNAcentral.
GGACUGUUCGCGUUUUAUAUCGCCAGCAGAUGUUGUCACGGUCAGCCCCAAGAGAUCAUGUUUAUGAAUGCGUCCAAAUAUUCGACUUCCGAAUUGGGGUUACUCAUACACGCGAUGGUUUAAAAUAGGCUAAACUCGCGGGAGGUUUUUGCCACCUUCAACCAUAAAUUCCGGCGUGGUGAAGGCUGUAAGUCGCAAACGGCUUUUG